CGACGAUUCCUACGGGAGGCAGCAGUGGGGAAUCUUGGACAAUGGGGGCAACCCUGAUCCAGCCAUGCCGCGUGAGUGAUGAAGGCCUUAGGGUCGUAAAGCUCUUUCGCCUGUGAUGAUAAUGACAGUAGCAGGUAAAGAAACCCCGGCUAACUCCGUGCCAGCAGCCGCGGUAAUACGGAGGGGGUUAGCGUUGUUCGGAAUUAUUGGGCGUAAAGCGCGCGUAGGCGGUUUUUUAAGUCUGAUGUGAAAGCCCACGGCUCAACCGUGGAGGGUCAUUGGAAACUGGAAAACUUGAGUGCAGAAGAGGAAAGUGGAAUUCCAUGUGUAGCGGUGAAAUGCGCAGAGAUAUGGAGGAACACCAGUGGCGAAGGCGACUUUCUGGUCUGUAACUGACGCUGAUGUGCGAAAGCGUGGGGAUCAAACAGGAUUAGAUAUCCUGGUAGUCCACGCCGUAAACGAUGAGUGCUAAGUGUUAGGGGGUUUCCGCCCCUUAGUGCUGCAGCUAACGCAUUAAGCACUCCGCCUGGGGAGUACGACCGCAAGGUUGAAACUCAAAGGAAUUGACGGAAUCUC
RNAcentral lists this ribosomal RNA (576 nucleotides) under uncultured bacterium. RNAcentral's name for it is "bacterial SSU rRNA". It matches the Rfam family "Bacterial small subunit ribosomal RNA", at positions 330 to 922 of the family's 1533-position model. The record is from RNAcentral.